GGGGACCUUCGGGGCCCUUCAUCCACCACGGACCAUGGGUCCAAAGCAACGGAAGACAGAGA
This 62-nucleotide non-coding RNA is filed under the name unclassified sequences. The record is from Rfam.